Molecule: non-coding RNA, 111 nt
Organism: Acanthosepion pharaonis
Lineage: Eukaryota; Metazoa; Mollusca; Cephalopoda; Sepiida; Sepiidae
Source: the annotation of a GenBank genome assembly
UACGGCCAUAUUACGUUCAAAUACCCGUUCCCGUACGAUCAUCGAAGUUAAGCAACGUUGAGCCUGGUCAUUACCUAGAUGGGUGACCACUUGGAAAUACCAGCUGCUGUA